CAGCCGCCGCGGUAAUACCGGCGGCCCGAGUGGCGGUCACUAUUAUUGGGCUUAAAGCGUCCGUAGCCGGGUUAGGAAGUCCUCCGGGAAAUCUGGCCGCUUAACGGUCAGAAUGCCGGAGGAUACUCCCAGCCUAGGGAGCGGGAGAGGCCGAGGGGAUUCCCGGGGUAGGGGUGAAAUCCUAUAAUCCCGGGAGGACCACCUGUGGGGAAGGCGCUCGGCUGGAACGCGUCCGACGGUGAGGGACGAAGGCCAGGGGAGCAAACCGGAUUAGAUACCCGGGUAGUCCUGGCUGUAAAGGAUGCGGGCUAGGUGUCGGGUGAGCUUCGGGCUCGCCCGGUGCCGUAGGGAAGCCGUUAAGCCCGCCGCCUGGGGAGUACGGCCGCAAGGCUGAAACUUAAAGGAAUUGGCGGG
This 414-nucleotide ribosomal RNA is filed under the name uncultured microorganism. RNAcentral's name for it is "bacterial SSU rRNA". It matches the Rfam family "Archaeal small subunit ribosomal RNA", at positions 459 to 872 of the family's 1478-position model. The record is from RNAcentral.